CCACAUGUGAAUAUAUAUACACAUAUGUUAUUGUGCCUUUUCAAUUACCACACCUUUUCAUUUGUACUCUUUCAGGUACAAACUAUAAUCAAACUAUAAUUUAUAUGUGAUUAAUAUAUGUGUUAUAUGUUAUAUGUGAUUCAAACACAACUAUAACACAUAUACACAAAUGAUUGUAUAUAACCACUAUAGAAUAAUCAUUUAUAAUUAAACAAGGCAAGGGAGGAAGGUUAUCAAUAAACCCAUAUUCUAAUUCUUUUAUCGAAACCAAUCCAUCACGGCAUCAUCUUUUAUAUUAGAAUUUAAAACAUUAAUACGAACUUAAACUUUAUAUUAAACCAAUAGACACAUAGGUCAUAUAGAAUAUAUAAUAUAUUAUUACAAUUGCUUUACGUAAAGUUAGUUCUGUUCGUAAUUCCGUGUCAUUUUGCGUCAUUUGCAUGUAGUUACAGCAUCUCCAACCCACCCUUAUAUUUACUUCUAUAUGCUAUAAUAGAGGAAAAUCUACUCCAACCCACCUCUAUUUCUUCUCCUAUAAUAGUGAUUGCUAUUUUUUCCUCUAUAUUUAGGGGAAAAAAUAGCAUUCCUCUAUAAUAGAGAUGUACUUUUUUAUUUACAAAAUAGUCCUUUAACUUUUGUGAUUAUAACUAAAAUACAUGUUUAUGAAGAAAUACAAUUUUAACAUAUAAAUGCACAUAUUUUUGUUUACAUACUAAUUUUUAAUUUUUAUAAUUAUAAAUAAAAUAAAUAAAAAUAUAUCUAAUUAUUUUAUGUUUACACACUAAUUAUUUUAUUUUAAAGUCAGACUUUUUAUUUAAUGAAUGAUAUCUAAAAUUUUAUAUUGAUAAUUAAAACUAUUAAUUAAAAUUUAAUUAUUAAAAGUUUAACAUAAUUUUACAUAUUGAUAACAUAUUAAAAUUAAACUUAAAUAUUGAAACAACUUAAUACUUAAAUAUUAAUCAAUACAACAUGUUGAAACAACUUAAUACUCCGGUAAAUUACUUCCGGAUCCACAAAAAAUGUUAAAAUAUUGUCCAAACGACGUGGGUGGAGAAGGAGUUUGCUGAUUUUGUUGCUAGUGACUGCGCUUUUGUAAAAUAUGUGCUUUCUUUACUUGGAAAUGUUCACGGACAUUUGGAUCUUCUAUGGAAUUUACAUCACAAAAUAAUUUUUUUUUUCCUUCAUCUGUUUUAAAGCAAAAUUUUAUCUUUGAAUCUCCAACUGAUGUUUGUCUUUGUUCACUUGACUUCUUUAGGUUCUCUAAGAAUUUUUUAUUUCCUUCUUCUAGUGUAUUGGAAGAGGAGCUCCACCACCAGAAGUCCAAAUACCAAAUGAUGAAAAUAAUCGGUUCCAGGAGUUUCUAAGUUGAUUCAGAAAAAUCAAAGAUAAAGAAGCUCAUUUCUCACUUCGGAAUGCAUUAAUUGACCAUUUAUGGGAAAAAAUAUAGUAAUGAGAUGUUUAGAUAAUGUCUAUUUUGUUUUAUUAUUAUUUUCUAAUGUCAUUUGUAAUAAAAUGUUUAAUUUAAAUAAUAUUGCAAUUUUAUGAAAAAAAAUUAAAAGUUAUAAUAAAUGGGUUAAUUUGCAACAUUUAUAAGUUAAAUGUGUUAUUUAUAAAAUAAAAAAAAAUAAUCUUUUAAGAAUAUUCUUUUAUAGAGAAAAAAAUAGAGAAAUACAUUGGAGAGAAACUCACCUCUAUUAUAGAGGAAAAAAUAGAGGAAUAAAUUGGAGAUGGUCUUAGCCUGGUUUUAUUUGUGAUGAUCAGUUGGUUUGUCACUACUCAUGAGUUUUCUUCCAACUGGUUAUUUUGUGGAGUUAUUUCCAUGGAAUUUGGGACUGUUUUUUUUUUUCAUUUUCGUGGAGUUAUUUAUUUUUCUUCAAACAGAAUAUUGAAAAAAAGAAUGUACGAGUGAAGAAAUGUCUUUUGAAGAGAAAAUUCAUACACAAGUAGGGGAAAUAUAAUGCAAUAAAUAUAUCAAAUAAACUCAUACUUUAUUAUUUAUUUUUAGAAUAUUGAGACAAUACUUUAUUAUUCUCUUUUUUAUAUUAUAUUCUCAAAUUUGAAAAAGGACUUAGCGCACAAGGCACCAAAAAACACAGCUUCAAAAUGGUAAGGAAACAAAACCAAAUUAUUUAAGAACGUGCCAACAUCCAAACAAAACUUUGCUUGGUCGGUUCAUUAUUUCUCACUAAGCUGACGACAUCAGAUUUAACAAUAUAUGCGCGUAUCUGAUUACAUCGUUUCCUGGAGGCUCCUCUGUAUGCUCUCCAUAUGUCAAUAAAAUGAUUGCCAUCCCUUAGAUAACAGUGCCAUACUAUCCUAUCGCCACUGCCUCUCUCCCUAACCGGGAAGUUGAAUUUACCUUUGGAUUUUAUUUCUUGAACACUUAUAGUUUCCUUUUUGUUCGAUGUGCAGUUGACUUUGACACUACGAGGAGGUUCAAGUUGGUUUUGAAAUUCCACCAGAUUGCAUCCGGAAGUUCUUUUCGAACUAAAACACAUAACAGUUAUUAACAUAAAAGUAAUGAGAUUAUUCAUCUUUUUUUGUUUUGAAGAUGCUAGAGACCCAAAGCGUAUUUUUUAUAGUUUCUUUUUGUGAUAAAUAAGGUAAGAAGCUAAAUAUAGACACAAAUAUUACUCGAUUAAAGUUAUGGUUGGAGGAGCAUUCGCAGCCGAAAAGUAAGGUAAAACCGUAAGGUAAGAUCAAAUAAAUUUAAAUUGCAAAUUAACGUUGACCACUAUAACUAAAGAAACACGAGUCUGAAAGUAGGUUCUACAUUUUAUCCAUAAAAUUUGUUUUGAUCUGUUAUUCGUUCUGAUUCGAAAAAUUUGGAUAUCCAAAUUUCUUCGGAGCAAAGCAAAUAUUAAAAAUAAAUAUCUAUUAAAACGAAAAAAAUCACAAAUAUUAAAAGUUUAGGAUGCGGAUACCCGCUCCUCUCCGGCUUAUAAACAAAUAGAUAUAUAUAUAUAUAUAUAUAAUCAAAUACAUAGUUUUAAAUGUAUAGUUUUGUAUAAUUAUUAUUUUAACAUAAAUUUUAUUCACAAAAUUACUUAUAAAUUUAUGAAAUUAAGAAAACAAUAUAAAAUCAUUAUAAAACCUACAAUUUUUCUUAAAUUUUGUGACAAGUAAUAAAAUCUAAAUAUUUACAGAACAUAUUCUUUCACUACUUUUUACUUAUUAUUUUAUAUUAUAUAAGAAUAUGUUUGAAAACAAGUUUAUAUGGUUUUAUAGAUUUACUUGUAUUAAACAAAGUGGAAGAGAUAUCCGCAAAUUUAUAUGUUUGAAAACAAAUUCUUAUUUUAUAUUAUAUAAGAAUUUUGUCUAUAAUUGUUUUUUGAUUUAUAUGUAUCUAAUGUAGCUGUAAGAAUUAAAUGAAAAAAAAAACUUUGCUGACAAAAAAUUAUAUUGUUGUCUAUAGCUUACAAAAUUGUGUUUUACCAAACAAGUCUAUUACAUCCAUUUUUUUCUUUUUGACUUUAUUUUUAAAAACUAAAUUAAACAUGAUCGAUAAUUUUUAGAGAAAAUUGGAAAACAUGGUACAAUUAGAAUUUGGGUUUGUCUCCCUGAAACUUAAUCUAAGAUUUUUGUACCAUUAGAAUUUUAAUUAACGUUAAUACCAUUAUAUCCUUAAAUUAAUCUAAAUUAAAUUUAACUAGAAUAUUUAACAUUUAUUAAUUGUUUUUAAUACAAUUUUGUUAAGUUAAAAAAAGAUGAAUUAGAAAAGGUUGGAGUCGAAGCUUGGAGACGCAUAUAUCGACGGUUCGUGGUCACCAACUUGAAGCUUGACUCUCUGGUCUGAACUGUGUCUCCAAUCCGCCAUCAAGCUCACCUCCGUCGUCGUCCGUUCACCUCCGACAAGCAGCACCGAACCAAUAUCGUCGUCUUGCUCGGUCGAGCUCGCGGCCCGUGCUCACCAAUCUCAGCCACCGCGACCGUCUUAUUCGAUAAGCCGUCUUGUCGUCUUCAAUUCGCCACAAACCUCCCCGAAAGUUGCUCAGUCACCACGAAGUCUCCUUACACUAAGAUCGGAGCAUCUCAGUCGUCACCGGAUCUUCAAUCCCCAUUGUCACGGAGGAAGCUUGAGCAACAAUGACAAGACCUUUGGAUAAACCAAAACUUUCAAUUGUGCAUUUCAGACCUCCUCGCAAUUUCAGAAUGGUCCCUCUCUUGGUUGUUUUCAAAUCGGCCACAAAUUUUGUAAUUCGCAAAACAUGGAAUAGAAGAUAUUGUGCGAGAUUUAUGUUAGAUUUCAUGUAUAUUUAGGAAAUAUAUUAACCGAAAUAAGAAAGUUUACAUACUUUUGUGGUUUGGCUAUAAUA
Brassica napus (rape) is the source of this 4316-nucleotide long non-coding RNA. RefSeq lists it as uncharacterized. NCBI's taxonomy places the organism in Eukaryota, Viridiplantae, Streptophyta, Magnoliopsida, Brassicales, Brassicaceae. The record is from RefSeq and is a predicted model, not a curated record. The transcript has 2 exons.